Molecule: ribosomal RNA, 494 nt
Filed under: uncultured bacterium
Lineage: Bacteria
Description: partial 16S ribosomal RNA
Rfam family: Bacterial small subunit ribosomal RNA
Source: RNAcentral
GACGAACGCUGGCGGCGUGCUUAACACAUGCAAGUCGAACGGUGAAGCGCCUUCCUUUUUGGUGGGUGUGGAUGAGUGGCGAACGGGUGAGUAACACGUGAGUAACCUGCCCCCUUCUUCUGGAUAACCGCAUGAAAGUGUGGCUAAUACGGGAUAUUCUGGGUCUGUCGCUUGAUUGGUCUGGGAAAGAUAUUGUUUCUGUUGGGGAUGGGAUCGCGGCCUUUCAGGUUGUUGGUGGGGUGAUGGCCUACCAAGGCGGUGAGGGGUAGCCGGCCUGAGAGGGUGGAAGGGAAGAGAGGGAGGGAGACACGGCGAAGACUGCGAAGGGAGGCAGCAGGGGGGAAUAGAGAGCAAUGGGAGAAAGACUGAUGAAGCGACGAGGCGUGAGGGAUGGAGGCCUGCGGGUUGUGAACGUCUUUCGCGAGUGAAGCAGGCCUGCCUAGGUUGUGGGUGGGUUGACGGUAGCUGGAGAAGAAGCGCCGGCUAACUACGUG